This 923-nucleotide ribosomal RNA is filed under the name Microbacterium esteraromaticum. RNAcentral's name for it is "bacterial SSU rRNA". It matches the Rfam family "Bacterial small subunit ribosomal RNA", at positions 58 to 991 of the family's 1533-position model. Lineage: Bacteria; Bacillati; Actinomycetota; Actinomycetes; Micrococcales; Microbacteriaceae. The record is from RNAcentral.
ACAGUCGAACGAUGAAGCCCAGCUUGCUGGGUGGAUUAGUGGCGAACGGGUGAGUAACACGUGAGCAACCUGCCCCUGACUCUGGGAUAAGCGCUGGAAACGGCGUCUAAUACUGGAUAUGUCCCGUCACCGCAUGGUGUGCGGGUGGAAAGAUUUUUCGGUUGGGGAUGGGCUCGCGGCCUAUCAGCUUGUUGGUGAGGUAAUGGCUCACCAAGGCGUCGACGGGUAGCCGGCCUGAGAGGGUGACCGGCCACACUGGGACUGAGACACGGCCCAGACUCCUACGGGAGGCAGCAGUGGGGAAUAUUGCACAAUGGGCGGAAGCCUGAUGCAGCAACGCCGCGUGAGGGAUGACGGCCUUCGGGUUGUAAACCUCUUUUAGCAGGGAAGAAGCGAGAGUGACGGUACCUGCAGAAAAAGCACCGGCUAACUACGUGCCAGCAGCCGCGGUAAUACGUAGGGUGCAAGCGUUAUCCGGAAUUAUUGGGCGUAAAGAGCUCGUAGGCGGUCUGUCGCGUCUGCUGUGAAAUCCCGAGGCUCAACCUCGGGCUUGCAGUGGGUACGGGCAGACUAGAGUGCGGUAGGGGAGAUUGGAAUUCCUGGUGUAGCGGUGGAAUGCGCAGAUAUCAGGAGGAACACCGAUGGCGAAGGCAGAUCUCUGGGCCGUAACUGACGCUGAGGAGCGAAAGGGUGGGGAGCAAACAGGCUUAGAUACCCUGGUAGUCCACCCCGUAAACGUUGGGAACUAGUUGUGGGGUCCUUUCCACGGAUUCCGUGACGCAGCUAACGCAUUAAGUUCCCCGCCUGGGGAGUACGGCCGCAAGGCUAAAACUCAAAGGAAUUGACGGGGACCCGCACAAGCGGCGGAGCAUGCGGAUUAAUUCGAUGCAACGCGAAGAACCUUACCAAGGCUUGACAUACAC